UUUUUACUGAAGGCGAAAUAUCUGGAACACCAGGAACCCUUGUAGCCACUUUUAUUACAUUUGUAUUGAACUUAUCUUUUGCAUUGAGUGUUAUGGGCUUCCUGAUUAUGCACAUCUCAUUGGUACUAGCCAAUACAACCACCAUUGAGGCAUAUGAGAAGAAAACUGAUCCUAAAUGGCGAUAUGAUCUUGGACGGAAGAAAAACUUUGAACAGGUGUUUGGGAUGGACAAGAGGUACUGGCUCAUCCCUGCUUAUUCUGAAGAUGAUUUGAAACGCAUGACAGUGCUUCGGGGUUUUGAAUAUCCAACAAGACCAGAUUUAGAUGAACUCCAACUCCAGCAGCUCUAACUGCAUUUGGCAACACAGACUGUUAAAUUGCCACUCCUCUUCAUUACCUUCUUAUGGCUUAGGCAUCCCGGAAGAAGCAGCUCACAUUGGCAAGAUCCUUGAACACUUUUAUGCCUGGUUUACUAUCUAUGCGAGAUAUAUUGGCGGCAUGCCUUGAAAUAUUAGAAUUUUGUACGACUGGAUUAUGCUGAAGGUUAAAACUAUACAAUUCUGUACAUAUGUCAAAUCUUGCUUCAUCUGCCAAAAGUAUUUUGUGCUUGCAGUGUAGCUAACAUAACUAAAUUAAAUAUUGUACUCUGUUGCUGGCUAUGCUUCUAAUUUUUUCGGA
This 678-nucleotide unclassified non-coding RNA is filed under the name Hevea brasiliensis (rubber tree). Lineage: Eukaryota; Viridiplantae; Streptophyta; Magnoliopsida; Malpighiales; Euphorbiaceae. The record is from RNAcentral.